UACGUAGGGUGCAAGCGUUUAUCCGGAAUUAUUGGGCGUAAAGAGCUCGUAGGCGGUUUGUCGCGUCUGCUGUGAAAACUGGAGGCUCAACCUCCAGCCUGCAGUGGGUACGGGCAAACUAAGAGUGCGGGUAGGGGAGAUUGGAAUUCCUGGUGUAGCGGUGGAAUGCGCAGAUAUCAGGAGGAACACCAUGGCGAAGGCAGAUCUCUGGGCCGUAACUGACGCUGGAGGAGCGAAAGCAUGGGGAGCGAACAGG
Molecule: ribosomal RNA, 256 nt
Filed under: uncultured bacterium
Lineage: Bacteria
Description: partial 16S ribosomal RNA
Rfam family: Bacterial small subunit ribosomal RNA
Source: RNAcentral